CAUGCUGUAAACGUUGGGCACUAGGUGUGGGGACCUUGUGGUUUCUGCGCCGUAGCUAACGCAUUAAGUGUCCCGCCUGGGGAGUACGGCCGCAAGGCUAAAACUCAAAGGAAUUGACGGGGACCCGCACAAGCGGCGGAGCAUGCGGAUUAAUUCGAUGCAACGCGAAGAACCUUACCAGGGCUUGACAUCCUCGGACGACACUAGAGAUAGUGUUUUCUCUUCGGAGACUGAGAGACAGGUGG
This 245-nucleotide ribosomal RNA is filed under the name uncultured Actinomycetales bacterium. RNAcentral describes it as "partial 16S ribosomal RNA". It matches the Rfam family "Bacterial small subunit ribosomal RNA", at positions 796 to 1041 of the family's 1533-position model. The record is from RNAcentral. Lineage: Bacteria; Bacillati; Actinomycetota; Actinomycetes; Actinomycetales.